This 1745-nucleotide long non-coding RNA is filed under the name Cyanistes caeruleus (blue tit). RNAcentral's name for it is "lncRNA (ENSCCEG00000021766.1)". Lineage: Eukaryota; Metazoa; Chordata; Aves; Passeriformes; Paridae. The record is from RNAcentral.
GAAAACCAAAUUUUGCAUACCUAUCAAUAAGCUCUGCUUGCAGAUGGAAGGAUGUUUUUUUCCUGUUAGCUGCAGCCCUGCAAAGAGCUGACUACUUGAAAAACAAGCUGGGGGCCUUUUGUCUUUGUGUUGUCACAGAGUCACAGUGCUGGAAGAGACUUUGAGAGGUCAUCCUGUGCAUCUCCCUUCCUUAAGGGAUGAGCUGUUAUUCCCACAGUUUCUGACAGACACUUUGCCAUUAAUCAUCACUGUUAAUUAUGAGCCUGGAGACUAUGUUGUACCCACAGUGCUUUUGGUGGGGACUGUACUGGUGGUGCAGAUGCAUGGCAUCAUAGAAAAAAGAUUCCAGCUUUCUGCUCCUUACCUGUGUUGGCUUAGAGGAACAAAGAAAUCCAGAGGAGAAGGGAAAGAAACAAUAAUUUACGUUAGCAAACCAUCAGGAUUCUGAACACAAAGCUACUGCUUAUGCAAAAUUCUAUAACCACUGUGUGUGUGAUGGAUGCAAACACAAGCCUUUGCCAUGCCCAUCAAUGCAAGGGUGCAGAGCAGUCCUGCCGAGGCUGGACAGCAAAGCUAUCUGGGCAUGGCUAGCACGCAUCCUGCCAGCCAAACCUGCCGCGCUGAUCCUGAACCUGGAGUGAGCUGGGUCAGCUGCACCUCCUGCCUUGGGUUACAGGGAAAUGCCAUGCAGCAGCACCCCAUGACCUGCUGUUUUAGGGAGAUGGCCAUCUAUGAAAAACUCUAAUGAAAAAACAGCUUCCACCAGGUCUCUCCAUUAUGUGCUCAUUCCUUUUUAAGUUCUCAAAGUAGUUUUUUCCCCUUACUUUUUUUUUUUAUUAUUUUUUUUUCCUUUCUCCCCUGUUGCUAAUGAGCACUUGAGAAUUUGAUUUAGCUCCUUGGAAUGACUGCCACUUACUGCUAGAAUGUUAAUCUGUCUAAACCCAUUCAGCUUCUCUUACUCGGAAGUCAAUCACCUGGAGCCUGCAUUUUAAGAGAUGCUGGCUAAAGCAGUCGCAAGAGCAGAGAUGUUUUGGGACAAUUCCCACAGCUGGGAGUAAUCUCGGGAAACUCAUAGCUACCAGGCGGCAGACACUAUUGAAUCCCCGGGAUAAGCAGAGCUGGAGCAAGCCCCGGCAGAGACCAGAAGCUCAAAUGGAGGGGAGACAGGAGGCUAUUGAGCUGCAGCUCCCACACGGGAUGCCGCACCGGAGUGUUUUGGGGAACAACCUUUAGUUAAUGGUGAGAAUAUACCCAAAGAGGGCGUAGGCAAACCAGGACAGAGGAGGUCCGCCAAGUCACAGCUGGAGAUAAAGCUUUAAAGUGUCAGAGGAGGAGUCUGGCUUUCCAGAAGUAAUUGGAGAGAUGAUUUAAUUUGUCUUGUACUGUCCAUUUUUAAACCCGUUUGGAGAGGGAGAAAAUGCACAGAAUUCCAUACUAAAUGUAGGAGACACGGGCAUAGACUUGGGAUAGUUGAUGAUGUAGUGGAGCCGUGUGUCUGUGAAUCAUUCCACCGUGUUGUUCUGGAAAUGCUCCUGUUUUAUCUUCCUUAGAGCAGCCCCUGUCUGUCUGUCGGUCCGUGCUGCCGGGCCAGAGGGGCAGCACCCCUGGCCGCGAGUAGGAGAGACAGCAUCUGGGGGGUGCACUGGGAGUGGAGGGGACCAUGAAGUCCCUGACUACCAGAAUUGCUCCUGGGCAUUGCUUGGCAUUUUUUUACAUGGGAAGAAGUGCGUUUUAGCUGUGGUACA